UAACGAAUCUUCCGCAAUGCGCGAAAGCGUGACGGAGCAAUGCCGCGUGCAGGAUGAAGCCCUUCGGGUUGUAAAGCUCUUUCGGCCGGGAAGAAAUCGCUCAAGCUAAUACCUUGGGUGGAUGACGGUACCGGAAGAAGAAGCACCGGCUAACUACGUGCCAGCAGCCGCGGUAAUACGUAGGGUGCGAGCGUUAAUCGGAAUUACUGGGCGUAAAGCGUGCGCAGGCGGUUUCGUAAGACAGAUGUGAAAUCCCCGGGCUUAACCUGGGAACUGCGUUUGUGACUGCGAGACUUGAGUGCGGCAGAGGGGGGUGGAAUUCCACGUGUAGCAGUGAAAUGCGUAGAGAUGUGGAGGAACACCGGAUGGCGAAGGCAGCCCCCUGGGUCGACACUGACGCUCAUGCGCGAAAGCGUGGGGAGCAAACAGGAUUAGAAACCCGAGUAG
RNAcentral lists this ribosomal RNA (447 nucleotides) under uncultured bacterium. RNAcentral's name for it is "bacterial SSU rRNA". It matches the Rfam family "Bacterial small subunit ribosomal RNA", at positions 355 to 793 of the family's 1533-position model. The record is from RNAcentral.